This is a small nuclear RNA of Saimiri boliviensis boliviensis (Bolivian squirrel monkey), 107 nucleotides long. Lineage: Eukaryota; Metazoa; Chordata; Mammalia; Primates; Cebidae. The record is from RefSeq and is a predicted model, not a curated record.
GUGCUCACUUUGGCAGCAAAUAUACUAAAAUUAGAACGAUAUAGAGAAGAUUAGCAUGGCCCCUGCAUAAGGAUGACAUGCAAAUUCGUGAAGCAUUCCAUAUUUUU